This 437-nucleotide long non-coding RNA is filed under the name Mytilus galloprovincialis (Mediterranean mussel). The record is from RNAcentral. Lineage: Eukaryota; Metazoa; Mollusca; Bivalvia; Mytilida; Mytilidae.
GUUGUCUUAGAUUUCUUAACUUCUUAAUGAUCUAUAUAUAUUGAUUACAUAUACAUAAAAAAAAUGUACUCUUUACUGAACAUUUUUAAUUUUUUUUACUUUCAGCAGUGUUGACUUUCCAGUUAUAACGUUUUGCUCUAUGAUACAAUUUGAGUUUCUCAGCACAUUCUCUAUUGAACCAUGGUUUCCCAACCUUUCCUUUCUUUUUUGUUUUUUAAAGAAUUAUCUCCCUUUCUAAUGAUUUUUUUCCCCAAUACCAAAUCACAUUUUGAGGCAGCUUGCAAAAUUAAAGAAUUACAUUCAUCAACUAUUGAAUUAACAAUAAUAUUAUCUAUCAGAUCAGUAUCUAUUUCUUCAAGUUUAACAACAAUUGAAUGGCUUACAGCUUCAUCAAUGUCAUCAUUAAAUUUAUGAUAUUUGUCAUUGUCCCAUUUACA